This 1189-nucleotide long non-coding RNA is filed under the name Dasypus novemcinctus (nine-banded armadillo). RNAcentral's name for it is "lncRNA (ENSDNOG00000051431.1)". Lineage: Eukaryota; Metazoa; Chordata; Mammalia; Cingulata; Dasypodidae. The record is from RNAcentral.
UUGGGGGUAGACCAAGGGACAGGCCGAAGGCCAGAGGGCCUGAGUAGUGGUAGCAGUACUUUCCCCACCCCGCCCCCACCUGGGGUGCCAGCGCCCCGUGAAUCCGCCUCUAGCCACGUAUUGCCUGCCUGAACACUACCACCUCAAGAUAAUACUGAAGUAACCUUUGGCCCUGGAGAGCUGCUACACUGUACUGAACUCUCAGCUCAUGGACCCUUGUUUCCCUGAACACUCAUUCACUUAGGGGCCAGUUCCCACCCCCAGAUUUCAAGGGCCCAAAGUCCACCCAUACUCACAUCUUAAAGGGUCCUUUUCCCGGGCCCCACCCCUCUCUUCCCAGUAGUUCCAAAGGCCCACAGACUCACAGCUCUUGAAAGGAAAUGGCUGCCCCAUCUGUGCCCCUGUUCAAGAUCUACCAUCACCUACCCUGAGAGCCUGCCUGCCUCAAGAUAGAAUUCCACAGUCUGCACCCAUUUCUAAAUGGAUACUUCCCUACCUGAGAGACACCUACACCCGAAGGGCGAACACCCUGAUCUUCCGGCUCCUCCUCCUCCAGCUCUGGGAGGGACAUAUCAGGAGGAACAGAUAGACAAGCACCCAGGCUUCACCUGGGUUCAAGUCAGCAGAGACGGCCUGUCCACCUCUCUGGCCAGCAUUCAAGAGCAGGCCAAGGGAUGCCCUGAUGGUAAGAUCAGCCCCUGCCUGGCGGAGAGCAGAGGGCAGGGAGGAAGACCCGGGAACUUGGAAGAGCAAGCAAAACGCAGGCCUUUUAACGGGGCCAGCUUCCUGCAGGCUCUAGGGCGGGCCCUGUCCUUAAGCACACACAUGCUGCUCGCACACAAAGCGCCUCUCCUGCCCUGGGACACUGCCAUCCCCAAGCCCAUUCCCCAGGGAAUCUCUCCAGCCCGUACCUUCAGUGUGUCAAGGCCAGAAUGUGCGCUGUGCCGGCUCCUCCCCCUCCGCCACCCAAACUAGGAGCCCGGCAGAUUUUGGCCCUGGCGUGCAGGCCUGCGCUGUCCUGUCAGGGUGGCUGCGUGCUAUUGUCGGCUGUGGAAUGGCCGCCCAAACCCCAGCUGUGCUGCCAGAACCUAAUCCCCUGUGCCGAUGAGCUUUUGUGGGGAGGGGACGAGAGGCCAGGGCAUGGACCAAGUACCGCAGGCACUGGCUAGAGGCCCUAACCGACACAGGC